Pelobates cultripes (western spadefoot toad) is the source of this 93-nucleotide non-coding RNA. The record is from the annotation of a GenBank genome assembly. Lineage: Eukaryota; Metazoa; Chordata; Amphibia; Anura; Pelobatidae.
CCCCAGAUGUUGCUGAACUACAACUCCCAUGAUUCUCUGCCCAUCCGUGUAAUUCAAAGAAUCAUGGGAGUUGUAGUUCAGCAACAUCUGGGG